Molecule: ribosomal RNA, 357 nt
Filed under: uncultured bacterium
Lineage: Bacteria
Description: partial 16S ribosomal RNA
Rfam family: Bacterial small subunit ribosomal RNA
Source: RNAcentral
CCUACGGGUGGCAGCAGUGAGGAAUAUUGGUCAAUGGCCGUAAGGCUGAACCAGCCAAGUCGCGUGAAGGAAGAAGGAUCUAUGGGGUGUAAACUGCUUUUAUAGGGGAAUAAAGGUAGCCACGUGUGGAUAUUUGCAUGUACCCUAUGAAUAAGCAUCGGCUAACUCCGUGCCAGCAGCCGCGGUAAUACGGAGGAUGCGAGCGUUAUCCGGAUUUAUUGGGGUUAAAGGGUGCGUAGGUUGUUUUUUAAGUCAGCGGUGAAAGUUUGUGGCGCAACCCUAAAAUUGCCGUUGAAACGGGCAGUCUUGAGUGUGUUUGAGGUAGGCGGAAUGCGUGGUGUAGCGGUGCAAUGCAUA